GACGAACGCUGGCGGCGUGCCUAAUACAUGCAAGUCGAGCGAAAUUUUUCUGCUGCUUUCACUAGCACAACUUACCGACGAACGGGUGAGUCACACGUAAAGAACCUUCCUCAUAGACUUGAACUCCUAUUGGAAACGCUAGCUCAUACCAGAUAACAGCGUUACCUGCUGGGGUGUGGUUUAAUUGUUCGUUUUGCUAACGCUUUGCGGUGUCUUUGCGUUGCGUUGGGUUGUUGGGGGGGUAAGGCCCUACCAGGUCGCCGAGCCGUAACCGACGUGAGAGGGGGAUCGGCGACACUGGAAGUGAGACACGGCCCAGACGCCUGCGGGAGGCAGCAGUAGCGAAUCGUACGCAAUGGGCGAAAGCCUGACGGAGCAACGCCGCGUGAGUGAAGAAGGAGUUCGGUGCGGAAAGCUCUGUUGUUAGGGAAGAAUGAUUGUGUAGUAACUAGACACAGUAGAGACGGUACCGAAUAAGAAAGCAACGGCUAACUACGUG
RNAcentral lists this ribosomal RNA (499 nucleotides) under uncultured bacterium. RNAcentral describes it as "partial 16S ribosomal RNA". It matches the Rfam family "Bacterial small subunit ribosomal RNA", at positions 28 to 507 of the family's 1533-position model. The record is from RNAcentral.